RNAcentral lists this long non-coding RNA (989 nucleotides) under Nicotiana tabacum (common tobacco). Its description in RNAcentral is "long non-coding RNA (NTAB_LNC005188)". The record is from RNAcentral. Lineage: Eukaryota; Viridiplantae; Streptophyta; Magnoliopsida; Solanales; Solanaceae.
UCACCUCGCUCUGAAGAUCCAUAACCGACAUUCCACGCUCUUCCGAAGACUCGAAUCGAUUCACCAUGCUCCAAAACUAGCCAAUAAGUAUGCAAACCCAUUAAUUUAUGCUUAAUUACUCAUUAUAAUUCAAUUUAUAACAAUUCCUAACCUCAAUCGAAAAGUUGACAAAAUUGCCCUCGGGCCCACGUGCCCGGAUUCCAAAAAUUUUCGAAGAUAAAGUUUACCUAUGAACUCACAAACUCAAAUAUAUGAUUUUCUCUUAGUUCCAGGCCCAAAAUAGUGGUAAAAAUCCAAAUUAUAAAUUUCUAGGUCUCCUACCAAAAACCCACAAUUUCUACCAAAUUUUCAUACUCAAAUCCAUAUAUAAUUCAAGUAUUAACUCAAAACUAGUAGAAUCCACUUACCUCAUGCGUGAUUGUGAAAAUGGCACCUCAAAGUUGCUCCAAAAAUCGGCUCCAAUGGAAGAAAUGGGGUUGAAAUGAACCCAACCCCCGAUUUAAAAGAACCUACUGCCUCCAGCAUUUUCGCAUCUGCGGUGCACCAGCUGCACCUGCGGAAUUUUUAUCGCGGGUGCGGUUUCAGCCAACUCGCUCAAGUCCGCUUCUAUAGAGCCAGAGCCGCUUCUGCGGUCUCGUUUCUGUGGAAGAUUUGUCGCACCUGCGACCCCAGCCAAGCCCAGCCAUUUUCCUCUUUUGCGACACAAGGGCCGCUUCUGCGGCUCCGCACCUGCGGCCCAAGUCUAGCAGGUGCGGUUACACCAGCAACUUCAGCUCUUCCUCCAAGUUCCAAUUCGAUCCGUUAACCAUCCGGAAUCCACCCGAGGCCCCAAGGACCCGGUCCAAUCACACUAACCAAUCCCAAAACACGUUACGGACUUGCUUGAGGCCUCAAAUCAUAUCGAACAACGCUAAAAUCAUGAAUCGACCUCCAAUCCAAGCUUAAUGAACUUAAGAAUUUCAAACUUCUUCAUUCGAUGCCAAAACAUA